This 505-nucleotide unclassified non-coding RNA is filed under the name Hevea brasiliensis (rubber tree). Lineage: Eukaryota; Viridiplantae; Streptophyta; Magnoliopsida; Malpighiales; Euphorbiaceae. The record is from RNAcentral.
AAUUUGAAUUUGUGCUGCUGAUGCUUGAGGAUCUGCUUUGAGGCAUUGGUCUUCGGCUGGAGCUAAUUGGCCUCUUUGAUAUCCCACACCUAUCACUUAGGCGAGGAUAACUACUUCUAUUCUUGUCCCAGACAUUAUGUGCAACUCUGUUUCUACGUUCCCUGGUGUAUGCAUUUUCUGGUUUUGCAAUGUCUUUAAUGGAGGAAAAUAAGGAAGCUGUAGCCAGACAUUGGAAGGACUUCGAUCUUCCAUUAUAGAACUCUGAUAUGCCUCUCCUGAUAGGCAAAGCGUCUUCUAAGGCAUCAAUGUUAUCGAGUUUACCCUUGUACGCGCUCUGUACUUCGUUCUCUUCCUUGCAAUCCUCGCUGUCUGAGUCUGAUGAUUCACUCCCCCACAGAUCACUGUUCUUUCCAAUAGCCGACGUCGUUGAAGACGUUGACGAGCUAAAUUCCUCCUGUUCCUCAGCCGGCGACUCAAAAAACCAAGACAUAGUGAAUUGUGGGAU